RNAcentral lists this ribosomal RNA (467 nucleotides) under uncultured bacterium. RNAcentral's name for it is "partial 16S ribosomal RNA". It matches the Rfam family "Bacterial small subunit ribosomal RNA", at positions 29 to 507 of the family's 1533-position model. The record is from RNAcentral.
ACGAACGCUGGCGGCGUGCUUAACACAUGCAAGUCGAACGGAAAGGCCCUGCUUUUGUGGGGUGCUCGAGUGGCGAACGGGUGAGUAACACGUGAGUAACCUGCCCAUGACUUUGGGAUAACUUCAGGAAACUGGGGCUAAUACCGGAUAGGAGCUCCUGCUGCAUGGUGGGGGUUGGAAAGUUUCGGCGGUUGGGGAUGGACUCGCGGCUUAUCAGCUUGUUGGUGGGGUAGUGGCUUACCAAGGCUUUGACGGGUAGCCGGCCUGAGAGGGUGACCGGCCACAUUGGGACUGAGAUACGGCCCAGACUCCUACGGGAGGCAGCAGUGGGGAAUAUUGCACAAUGGGCGGAAGCCUGAUGCAGCAACGCCGCGUGCGGGAUGACGGCCUUCGGGUUGUAAACCGCUUUCGCCUGUGACGAAGCGUGAGUGACGGUAAUGGGUAAAGAAGCACCGGCUAACUACGUG